Long non-coding RNA from Gallus gallus (chicken), 980 nucleotides. The record is from Ensembl. NCBI's taxonomy places the organism in Eukaryota, Metazoa, Chordata, Aves, Galliformes, Phasianidae.
ACUGGAGAUCCCUGAAUGUUUGAGGCCUUCUGAAGCUGAUCCUGCAACAAUCAUCUUGCUGUACUCAUCCACUGCCCCCAGCUGUCAGCCUCCGCAAGCAAGGUGCUUCAUUUUGAAGGGACAUCAGAACAUGUCACUGAAGUCAAAUAUCAGCAUAUUUAAAGUCACGUGAUGAAUCCUUGUCCAGAUGUUUCUUCAGAUCUUGUGGAAGGGACAAGUGGAAGAAUGUCCUUGGAGAACAGCUUCAUACAGCACAGUCUCCUCUGUUGCUCACACGUUUUGUCUGAACAUUUAAUCUGUACUAGCACAUAGGCAUUCUGGAGGUCACUUCUGGGCAAGAUGCUCAGGAGGAUCUGAAGCAACAGCCAGAUGAUGUACGAGCAUGUUAGUAUUUCAAGCUGGAUGCCACUUACUCCUGUAACAUCCUAUGAAUAAAGGAAACAAAACAGGGAGACUGAAAGCCAAGAAAUAAGUUAUUUCAACUAUGUGUAAUUGUUGACAAAAACAAGAUGAAAACACGGAUGCUGACAGGCACUCUGGGAGGGGCUGUAGGGGUAUAGUGCUCUGUUUUGGGUAACCAAUUAGCACUGCCCAGGGAAAGGGUUUUUGUGUCGUCGUAGCUGUGAAGACAGCUCCAACCAUUGCUUUCUGAUCAUAACCUUCCACAAUAGUUUAUGAACUUCCACAGCCUCAAUUACUGUCAUCUAAUCUACAUCUUCAGUCAAAAUCAAGAAAGGCAGGGAAACCCUACGGUCAGCACAAAUAAAUUAGUGAAUAAACCAACGACUGGUGUGAAAUUGUAACUGAAAGUUCCACAUAGACCCGAUGGCUUGAUUUUCAUGUGCCUUAGAAAUUUUCUUCAGACUUCCAUUGAUCAUUUUGGUUUUUUUUGUACACCAGUAGCCUUGCAAUAGAGAACAGUAGCAUAAACUGGAGUAAUUCCUACUAUUUGUCCCGCUGUGGCUUUGAGGAAUGCAUAU